GUGCCAGCCGCCCGGUAAUACCGGCAGCCCGAGUGAUGACCGAUCUUAUUGGGCCUAAAGCGUCCGUAGCUGGCUGCGCAAGUCCGUCGGGAAAUCCACUCGCCCAACGAGUGGGCGUCCGACGGAAACUGCACAGCUUGGGACCGGAAGGCUCGAAGGGUACGUCCGGGGUAGGAGUGAAAUCCUAUAAUCCUGGACGGACCACCAAUGGGGAAACCACCUCAGGAGGAUGGACCCGACAGUGAGGGACGAAAGCUCGGGUCUCAAACCGGAUUAGAAACCCUGGUAGUCC
Molecule: ribosomal RNA, 292 nt
Filed under: uncultured bacterium
Lineage: Bacteria
Description: partial 16S ribosomal RNA
Rfam family: Archaeal small subunit ribosomal RNA
Source: RNAcentral